This 431-nucleotide ribosomal RNA is filed under the name Blastocystis sp. Its description in RNAcentral is "SSU rRNA". It matches the Rfam family "Eukaryotic small subunit ribosomal RNA", at positions 474 to 919 of the family's 1831-position model. Lineage: Eukaryota; Bigyra; Opalinata; Blastocystidae. The record is from RNAcentral.
UAAAUCACAAUGCGGGACUGUUAGUCUUGCAAUUGGAUUGAGAACAACGUACAACUCUUAUCGAUAAGCCAUUGGAGGGCAAGUCUGGUGCCAGCAGCCGCGGUAAUUCCAGCUCCAAUAGCGUAUAUUAACGUUGUUGCAGUUAAAAAGCUCGUAGUUGAAGUGAGGGAGUGUGUGGGUAUGAGAGCUAGUCUCAAGUACUUACAACCUCCCCCCUCCAAUCGGUGUAGUGGGGUAUUCAGUUAUUCUACUACUCCUUUGGUCGUUUACUGUGAGAAAAUUAGAGUGUUCAAAGCGGGCGUUUGUUUGAAUAGAUUAGCAUGGAAUAAUGAUUGAAGGCUUUCGUGUUCGAUUUGAUUGGUUUGUUCAUGGAAGCAAGGUUAAAAGGAACAGUUGGGGGUAUUCAUAUUCACUAGUUAGAGGUGAAAUUC